GACGAACGCUGGCGGCGUGCUUAACACAUGCAAGUCGAACGGAAAGGCCCUGCCUUUGUGGGGUGCUCGAGUGGCGAACGGGUGAGUAACACGUGAGUAACCUGCCCUUGACUUUGGGAUAACUUCAGGAAACUGGGGCUAAUACCGGAUAGGAGCUCCUGCUGCAUGGUGGGGGUUGGAAAGUUUCGGCGGUUGGGGAUGGACUCGCGGCUUAUCAGCUUGUUGGUGGGGUAGUGGCUUACCAAGGCUUUGACGGGUAGCCGGCCUGAGAGGGUGACCGGCCACAUUGGGACUGGGAUACGGCCCAGACUCCUACGGGAGGCAGCAGGGGGAAAUAUUGCACAAUGGGCGGAAGCCUGAUGCAGCAACGCCGCGUGCGGGAUGACGGCCUUCGGGUUGUAAACCGCUUUCGCCUGUGACGAAGCGUGAGUGACGGUAAUGGGUAAAGAAGCACCGGCUAACUACGUG
This 468-nucleotide ribosomal RNA is filed under the name uncultured bacterium. RNAcentral's name for it is "partial 16S ribosomal RNA". It matches the Rfam family "Bacterial small subunit ribosomal RNA", at positions 28 to 507 of the family's 1533-position model. The record is from RNAcentral.